Long non-coding RNA from Dermacentor albipictus, 716 nucleotides. RefSeq lists it as uncharacterized. The record is from RefSeq and is a predicted model, not a curated record. Lineage: Eukaryota; Metazoa; Arthropoda; Arachnida; Ixodida; Ixodidae.
CGCUGCAAAAACAUUAGCGCGCGUGCAUAUACCUUUGUUGUUCAUGUGCGCGUAGCAGACGUGCACGGUACCAGACGACGCUGCGGGAACAUGGAAUCUCAAGAACCUCCUCGUUUGCGUUUUUGUGUGCACGCAUCGUGGACAGGGAACACGAUCCACGCAUGCCCUGUUUUCUUUCUCCUACUUCUUUUCGAGCGAAAGAUUAGUAACGAAAACUGAGCGUGUUGUAUCGGGUGUCCUCACUUUCAGCGCGACGCGAGCAACAGCCACUUUGCUUUGCGUCCCCGGAAAACUAAGCAGCGCAAUCUUGUUCCAGUCCCGCAGUUCGCGUUGACACACGACUCCCAUUCCUGCAGCGCCCGCACGAGAGAGUUUCGCGGCCUACAUUUUAAGAAAACUUUAGAGAAGCUACGAAGAAGAAUCCGGAGGAAGCGAUACUGUGGAAGAGCGUCAUGCACGAGCUGAGCAGACGGCGCAAAAGCGGCAGCAGAUGCAUCGCCUGAAGGCUUGCUUCGUGUUCUGCAGGGCAUAGCGUGAGAGAAGAGCCAGAAGAACGCUGAGCAAAGAGGAUUCCUGCCGCUUGAUUGCAACCGUUCCUCUUGGCGUGCUCGGUAUAAGGUUCUCGGGCGAGCGGCACCGGAGGCAGUCAACGGCGCUGGGACCUUGCGAAUGGGGUGCAUUAUUCAUCGGAAGAAAUCACAACGAGGGAGCGUGCC